This 445-nucleotide ribosomal RNA is filed under the name Parawixia kochi. RNAcentral's name for it is "partial 16S large subunit ribosomal RNA". It matches the Rfam family "Bacterial large subunit ribosomal RNA", at positions 1831 to 2601 of the family's 2925-position model. The record is from RNAcentral. Lineage: Eukaryota; Metazoa; Arthropoda; Arachnida; Araneae; Araneidae.
UUUUAUAACUUUUUUAUAAGUAACCCCUGCUCAAUGAACUUUAAAUAGCCGCGGAAUCUUAACCGUGCUAAGGUAGCAUAAUCAUUAGCCUCUUAAUUAGAGGCUAGUAUGAAAGGGGAAACAAUUCAAUUUCUUUAUUUAUUAUUUUUAUUUAAUUUAAAUUAAGAAUAAAAAUGUUCUUAUAAAAAAAAUAGACGAUAAGACCCUUUUGAACUUUACUGAAGUUAAGCUGGGGCAGCUUAGAAAAAAUUAUUUUUCUCUAUAUUAUUAAAUAAAUGACCCAAUAAAAUUGAGUUUAUGAACAAGUUACCAUAGGGAUAACAGCGUAAUAUUUUUUUAAAGCUCUUAUUAAAAAAAAAGUUUGCGACCUCGAUGUUGAAUUAAUGUUACUAUAUAAGUGUAAUAACUUUAAAAGUAGGUCUGUUCGACCUUUAAAACAUUACAU